RNAcentral lists this unclassified non-coding RNA (286 nucleotides) under Hevea brasiliensis (rubber tree). The record is from RNAcentral. Lineage: Eukaryota; Viridiplantae; Streptophyta; Magnoliopsida; Malpighiales; Euphorbiaceae.
UUUUAGUAAAAUCACUAAUCAAAACUAACUUUCUAUGUGAAAGCUCUAUGGUGAACAAUGCAUUUGCAGCUUUAUAUGAUUUUGAAGACAUAAUAGAAUUUAGACUAUUCAGAAUAAGCCGCUUCUCUUAAAAAAUUGAUGUGUUAUGGCAAAAUUGCAUUACUAAAUGAAUGGAUAAUCAUGAACUAAGGAAUCAGAAUCAUAUCCGUAGUAAGGAUUUUUUUUUCGGAGUGGAGCUAAUUGUCAUCCAACCUUGAAAGAAAAAUGUCACAGCAUUAGCCAAAAA